GGCCGGUGUUCUGGGAAUUUCUCCUACCCCGCAAACCGUCCUACCCGUUGUUCCUGAGCAUGUGCGCGCAUGCGCACAACACAUAAAGUGAAGCAAAGCGCAUCCGGCUGUGAUUUAAUGCUACCCCGUUGUCAUAUUUGCAGGAAAAUAGCUUCGGUGAAGUCUGCUGUCAAGUUACUGGACACGUUGUAUUUGCACAACACUUCUGAAUCCGCAGCUUCGAUAUGGAGAAGAAGUGGGAAGAGAUUUACGCGUUUAUUUCUGCGGGCUCCAACCCUUCAGGAUAUGACAAGGCUCAGAGGCAAAACCUCAGAAGAUAUGCCUCAAAAUUCCAACAAAAGGAUGGAGAACUCUUUGUUGGAACCAGAAGAGUAGUAAAAACCAUGGAUGAUGCCAGGAAGAUAUUUCAUGAGUUUCAUUCAUCUCCAAUUGGAGGACACACUGGCACACACAAAACGCUAAAUGCAGUGUGUUCCAGAUUUUACUGGUUUGGUAUGAUAGUUGACAUUAAAACAUGGAUUCUGGAAUGUGACCAGUGUCAAAAAGUUGGGAAACCACUGACUGCUGUGCAACCGUUGCAGUGUAUUCAGAGCCCUCCGAAAACUGGUGAAUGACCAGCAGAAUAACUGGGAUCUGUAUCUAGAUCCCACCUUGUUUUCACUGCGGUCAAAAGUACACACCACAACAAAAUACUCACCUUUUUUUCUGAUGUAUGGAAGAGAGGCAGUAUUUCCAUCAGAAGUGCCUGCUCAAGUGCCGAUUUCCAACAUCAUUCUGCCAGACGACAAAAGGUACAGUGACUAUGUACAGUCUGAAAGUGAAGCACAACAUGCAGUUAAAGAAACUGCGCAAGAAAACAUUGCGAAGUCACAAGACAAGCAAAAGGUUGCAUACGCCAAGCGGGUCCUGAAAAAGUACAAAAAUGUUGUGUACAAUGUAGAGGAUCAAAUUCUGCUUCUAAAUAUGAGGAAACGUGGGCGAAAAGGAGGAAGACUUGAACCGGAUUUUUCAGGUCCCUACACAAUUGAUGACAUCAGUGGAAAAUGUGUUGGACCGAAAAACGCUGAGGGAAAUACUUUAAAAAGUCUAUACAGUAUUGACCACAUUAAACCUUAUAGAACAAGCCACCCUGUCCAAGUCUCAACUCCAACUGAACCUGUUGAGAGUAGCCCAUCUUCUGAGAUGCAGCCUUGCAGUCCUCAGCAUCAUCCUGAAGCGCUGCAAAAUAACAGACCCUCUGUCAUACAGUUUGCACCAAAAAUAGCUCAGGUAAAAUCAGUCCAAGCACCAGAAGAGCUUGUACCAGUGACCCCCCAGAAACCCAGCACGCAAGAAAAAGUGAAGUGGCUUUGGGCUGCAAAAGACACCGGGCGUGUGGAGGCAGUCGUUGGGCCAUACAAAUUGUAUGACUCUUCUUUUCGCACACUGGAGGACAGUGGGUGGCUUUCUGAUGAGGUCAUUGAUGGAUACCUGCACUGCCUCAUUAGGAAACAAAAGGAACCCGUGUAUCAGUUGUCUUGCGUUGUUGCAACCUCUCUGUUUUCUGGGAAGUUUAAAUGUGUCACCAAGAUGUUGUUUCCGGCUGAGGACAUUUGGUUGUGCCCACUGAACUUCGGUGCACACUGGAUCCUUGUGGUUGUCAAACCUAAAAUAGGUUUGACAACCUAGUGUGGAAAAUGGAGACUCUGCCACACAACAAGCAGAUGGACUCCAGCAGUUGUGAAGUUUUAGUGUUGAAGUUUGCCGAACACUACCUUAUGAGUGGAGAGGUUACUAGGGUGCUGUCCACUCCAGAAGCCAUUGGGCUGCAACGCACAGAAAUUGCUUGCGAACUGCUAGAACAUCAAAGUAAUGCUGAUGACUACUGUGUGGUUUGUUCCAUGCUGGAAGCCGAUCCUGAGUCCAGUAUGAUUGAAAUGGUGCAGUGUGAGUUUUGUCUCAGAUGGGCACAUUUUGGAUGUGCUCAAUAUGAGAGCAGCCUGGUCAAGUACUUGUGCGACAAAUGUGCAUAAUUGUUAUGAAUACUGUUUAUUUUCCACUUCUUUCUCCCUGUGUUCUGUUGGAUCUGUAAAUAUCAAAUAUAUAUAUAUCUGUAAAUAUAUUCAGUAAAUAUAUACUGUAACUAUAAUGGAGUGAGUUCAUUGUCAAAGUUUAUAUAGUCAAGUGUUCCAAUCACUUCAAUGGUGACAGCUGUAUAACUUAAGCACCUUGGCAUGCAGACUGCUUCUACAAACAAGUGCCAAAACAUGCUACCUUUGUUAU
Long non-coding RNA from Oreochromis niloticus (Nile tilapia), 2262 nucleotides. RefSeq lists it as uncharacterized. NCBI's taxonomy places the organism in Eukaryota, Metazoa, Chordata, Actinopteri, Cichliformes, Cichlidae. The transcript is spliced from 15 exons. The record is from RefSeq and is a predicted model, not a curated record.